CCUACGGGAGGCAGCAGUGGGGGAUAUUGCACAAUGGGGGGAACCCUGAUGCAGCGACGCCGCGUGGGUGAAGGAGAGGUUCGGCGCGUAAAGCCCUAACGGCAGGGAAGAAGAGGACGGUACCUGAACAAGAAGCCCCGGCGAACUACGUGCCAGCAGCCGCGGUAAUACGUAGGGGGCAAGCGUUAUCCGGAUUUACUGGGUGUCAAGGGGGCGCAGACGGCAAUGCAAGCCAGGAGUGAAAGCCCGGGGCCCCACCCCGGGACUGCUCUUGGAACUGCAUGGCUGGAGUACAGGAGGGGCCGGCGGAAUUCCUUGUGUAGCGGUGACAUGCGUAGCUAUUAGGUG
RNAcentral lists this ribosomal RNA (348 nucleotides) under uncultured bacterium. Its description in RNAcentral is "partial 16S ribosomal RNA". It matches the Rfam family "Bacterial small subunit ribosomal RNA", at positions 338 to 703 of the family's 1533-position model. The record is from RNAcentral.